This 571-nucleotide long non-coding RNA is filed under the name Physcomitrium patens. RNAcentral describes it as "long non-coding RNA (PPAT_LNC000483)". The record is from RNAcentral. Lineage: Eukaryota; Viridiplantae; Streptophyta; Bryopsida; Funariales; Funariaceae.
UGAUUUAGUUAUUAAAAGUGAUUAAUUACAGAAUUAUGGUUAGAAUCUGGAGAAUCAGAGGAAAGUAUAUAGGAGUUGUAGAAGUUAAUUAGAGGGCGAGACUAUGAGAGUCAUAAGUUGAGGGCCAGACUGUGAGAGUCGUGAGCCGAGGGCCAUUGCUGUGAUAGUGUGAGCCGGGGUAAGCUUGGUGCUACCUCUUUUCUUUUGUUUGUUAUUUUCUUUAAAUAAGAAGAUUGAGAGUUUCUAAAUAUUGUGAAGUGAAUUAUGGAAUGGAAAUGUGAUUGGUAUUAUUUGAGAAGAAGAAAGAUUGAGUGCUGAAAUCUGAUUGUAAUUCAGCAAAGAGAAUGGGUCUGUGUUUGUGUGAAACACUGUAAUGUGAAUGGCAGUUCUGUGUGAAGAAUUCCAGUGAUUGGAACGAGGGUAAUUGUGUGCUGAAAGCUGUGAGGGCACAGUAUUACAGUUGGAGAUUAUGAAGGUGAAUAUAUUGGUGGAAAUAGCAGUUAUUGGUAUGACUGAAUUACUGUAAGGAAGAGACCGAUAAGGUGAAGGAGGAGAUUAUAGUUUCCUUGUG